GCAGCCAGGGCAGAGAGCACAGGAAUCUGAGGUGACUGGCACAGAAGACUCAGGCCUGUGGCUCCUCCCCCAG
Molecule: microRNA precursor, 73 nt
Organism: Cercocebus atys (sooty mangabey)
Lineage: Eukaryota; Metazoa; Chordata; Mammalia; Primates; Cercopithecidae
Source: Ensembl